GACGAACGCUGGCGGCGUGCUUAACACAUGCAAGUCGAACGGAAAGGCCCUGCGUUUGUGGGGUGCUCGUGUGGCGAACGGGUGAGUAACACGUGAGUAACCUGCCCUUGUCUUUGGGGUAACUUCAGGAAACUGGGGCUAAUACCGGGUAGGAGCUCCUGCUGCAUGGUGGGGGUUGGAAAGUUUCGGCGGUUGGGGAUGGACUCGCGGCUUAUCAGCUUGUUGGUGGGGUAGGGGCUUACCAAGGCUUUGACGGGUAGCCGGCCUGAGAGGGUUAACGGCCUCCAUGGGCCUGCGAUACGGCCCAGACUCCUACGGGAGGCAGUAGUGGGGAGUAUUGCGCAAUGGGCGGACGCGUGAUGAGGCAAUCCCGCGUGCGGGAUGCCCGCCUUCGAGUUGUAAACCGCUUUCGCCUGUACCGAAGCGUGAUUGACGGUAAUGGGUAAAGAAGCACCGGCUAACUACGUG
This 468-nucleotide ribosomal RNA is filed under the name uncultured bacterium. Its description in RNAcentral is "partial 16S ribosomal RNA". It matches the Rfam family "Bacterial small subunit ribosomal RNA", at positions 28 to 507 of the family's 1533-position model. The record is from RNAcentral.